UACGUAGGGUGCGAGCGUUUGUCCGGAAUUAUUGGGCGUAAAGGGCUCGUAGGCGGUUUGUCGCGUCGGGAGUGAAAACUCAGGGCUUAACCCUGAGCCUGCUUCCGAUACGGGCAGACUAGAGGUAUGCAGGGGAGAAUGGAAUUCCUGGUGUAGCGGUGAAAUGCGCAGAUAUCAGGAGGAACACCGGUGGCGAAGGCGGUUCUCUGGGCAUUACCUGACGCUGAGGAGCGAAAGUGUGGGGAGCGAACAGG
RNAcentral lists this ribosomal RNA (254 nucleotides) under uncultured bacterium. RNAcentral's name for it is "partial 16S ribosomal RNA". It matches the Rfam family "Bacterial small subunit ribosomal RNA", at positions 524 to 776 of the family's 1533-position model. The record is from RNAcentral.